GUGGUGUCGUGCUUAACGGUCGCAAUGAAUAGUUGUGCUAAGGUAGCGCAGUCAAUUGUCCUUUAAUUGGGGAAAGGAAUGAAAGGGUUGACGAGGGGGAGGCUGUCUUUGUAAUAUAAUUUGAAAUUUUCUUUUACGUGAAAAGACUUGAAUUUUAAAAUAAGAAGAGAAGACCCCGGCGAGCUUGUUAAGGGUUGUUAAAUGAAAAUGACCAUUGAGGUUUGUUGGGGCAACGCAAAGGGAAGAAAACUCCUUUGAACGUGAUAAGGAUCCACUAAGAGUGAAUAAAGCAAAAGCUACCGCGGGGAUAACAGCGCAAUUUUCUUAGAGAGUUCAUAUCGAAGAGAAAGUUUGCGACCUCGAUGUUGGAUUAAGAUUUCCUUUUGGUGCAGGAGUUAAAAAGGUGGGACUGUUCGUCCUUUAAAAUUUU
Molecule: ribosomal RNA, 430 nt
Filed under: Mactra antiquata
Lineage: Eukaryota; Metazoa; Mollusca; Bivalvia; Venerida; Mactridae
Description: partial 16S ribosomal RNA
Rfam family: Bacterial large subunit ribosomal RNA
Source: RNAcentral